UACGAAGGGGGCUAGCGUUGCUCGGAAUCACUGGGCGUAAAGGGUGCGUAGGCGGGUCUUUAAGUCAGGGGUGAAAUCCUGGAGCUCAACUCCAGAACUGCCUUUGAUACUGAAGAUCUUGAGUUCGGGAGAGGUGAGUGGAACUGCGAGUGUAGAGGUGAAAUUCGUAGAUAUCUGGAGGAAUACCGGUGGCGAAGGCGGCAUCCUGGACCGGCAUUGACGCUGAGGAGCGAAAGCCAGGGGAGCAAACGGG
RNAcentral lists this ribosomal RNA (253 nucleotides) under uncultured bacterium. Its description in RNAcentral is "partial 16S ribosomal RNA". It matches the Rfam family "Bacterial small subunit ribosomal RNA", at positions 524 to 776 of the family's 1533-position model. The record is from RNAcentral.